AUUGAACGCUGGCGGCAUGCCUUACACAUGCAAGUCGAACGGUAACAGGUUAAGCUGACGAGUGGCGAACGGGUGAGUAAUGUAUCGGAACGUGCCCAGUCGCGGGGGAUAACUGCUCGAAAGAGCAGCUAAUACCGCAUACGACCUGAGGGUGAAAGCGGGGGAUCGCAAGACCUCGCGCGAUUGGAGCGGCCGAUAUCAGAUUAGGUAGUUGGUAGGGUAAAGGCCUACCAAGCCGACGAUCUGUAGCUGGUCUGAGAGGACGACCAGCCACACUGGGACUGAGACACGGCCCAGACGCCUACGGGAGGCAGCAGUGGGGAAUUUUGGACAAUGGACGCAAGUCUGAUCCAGCCAUGCCGCGUGCGGGAAGAAGGCCUUCGGGUUGUAAACCGCUUUUGUCAGGGAAGAAACGCUCUGGGUUAAUACCUCGGGGUAAUGACGGUACCUGAAGAAUAAGCACCGGCUAACUACGUGCCAGCCGCCGCGGUAA
RNAcentral lists this ribosomal RNA (493 nucleotides) under uncultured bacterium. Its description in RNAcentral is "partial 16S ribosomal RNA". It matches the Rfam family "Bacterial small subunit ribosomal RNA", at positions 30 to 523 of the family's 1533-position model. The record is from RNAcentral.